AGAGUUUGAUCCUGGCUCAGGAUGAACGCUGGCGGCGUGCCUAAUACAUGCAAGUCGAGCGGUAAGGUUCUGCACUUACUAUUUGAUCGCGGUAACCUCGGUUACUAAAAUGGACCAACUGGACCCUGGCUAGGGAAAGGGAGGCGAGUGGAGAUGGAAUGAUAAGUGUAGAAUACACGAGCGGCGGACGGGUGAGUAACGCGUAGGAAUGUACCCAAAGUGAGGAAUAACUGCUCGAAAGAGUAGCUAAUGCCGCAUGUGCUCUAAGGAGUAAAGCUUCGGCGCUUUGGGAACAGCCUGCGUCUGAUUAGCUAGUUGGUGAGGUAAAGGCUCACCAAGGCGACGAUCAGUAGCUGGUUUGAGAGGAUGAUCAGCCACACUGGAACUGAGACACGGUCCAGACUCCUACGGGAGGCAGCAGUAGGGAAUUUUCCACAAUGGACGAAAGUCUGAUGGAGCAACGCCGCGUGCAGGAUGAAGGCCUUAGGGUCGUAAACUGCUUUUAUGUGCGAAGAAUUUGACGGUAACACAUGAAUAAGGAUCGGCUAACUCCGUGCCAGCAGCCGCGGUCAUACGGAGGAUCCAAGCGUUAUCCGGAAUUACUGGGCGUAAAGAGUUGCGUAGGUGGCUUGUUAAGCAAAUAGUGAAAUUGUGUGGCUCAACCAUACACCCAUUAUUUGAACUGGCAGGCUAGAGAGCGAGAGAGGUUACUAGAAUUCCUAGUGUAGGAGUGAAAUCCGUAGAUAUUAGGAGGAAUACCGAUGGCGUAGGCAGGUAACUGGCUCGUUUCUGACACUAAGGCACGAAAGCGUGGGGAGCAAACGGGAUUAGAUACCCCAGUAGUCC
Molecule: ribosomal RNA, 846 nt
Filed under: uncultured bacterium
Lineage: Bacteria
Description: bacterial SSU rRNA
Rfam family: Bacterial small subunit ribosomal RNA
Source: RNAcentral